GACGAACGCUGGCGGCGUGCCUAAUACAUGCAAGUCGAACGCAGUGGGGACGGGUGAGUAAAACGUGGGUAACCUCCCAUCAGAGGGGAUAACACUUGGAAACAGGUGCUAAACCGAUACUGAUGGAUGGAACAGAGGUGCAUUAGCUAGUUGGUGGGGUAAGGGCUCACCAAGGCAACGAGGCAUAGGCGACCGUGGGGGGUGAUCAGCCAACCUGGGGAUUAGGCACGGCCCAGACUCCGACGGGAGGCAGUAGUGGGGAAUCUUUCGCAAUGGGCGCAAGUCUGACCGAGCAACGCCGCGUGAGUGAAGAAGGUUUUCGGGUCGUAAAACUCUUUUGUUAGAGAAGCGGUAUCUAACCAGAAAGCCACGGCUAACUACGUGCCAGCCGCCGCGGUAAUUC
RNAcentral lists this ribosomal RNA (403 nucleotides) under uncultured bacterium. Its description in RNAcentral is "partial 16S ribosomal RNA". It matches the Rfam family "Bacterial small subunit ribosomal RNA", at positions 28 to 526 of the family's 1533-position model. The record is from RNAcentral.